RNAcentral lists this ribosomal RNA (501 nucleotides) under uncultured bacterium. Its description in RNAcentral is "partial 16S ribosomal RNA". It matches the Rfam family "Bacterial small subunit ribosomal RNA", at positions 30 to 523 of the family's 1533-position model. The record is from RNAcentral.
AUUGAACGCUGGCGGCAGGCUUAACACAUGCAAGUCGAGCGGAGAUGAGGUGCUUGCACCUUAUCUUAGCGGCGGACGGGUGAGUAAUGCUUAGGAAUCUGCCUAUUAGUGGGGGACAACAUUCCGAAAGGAAUGCUAAUACCGCAUACGUCCUACGGGAGAAAGCAGGGGAUCUUCGGACCUUGCGCUAAUAGAUGAGCCUAAGUCGGAUUAGCUAGUUGGUGGGGUAAAGGCCUACCAAGGCGACGAUCUGUAGCGGGUCUGAGAGGAUGAUCCGCCAAACUGGGACUGAGACACGGCCCAGACUCCUACGGGAGGCAGCAGUGGGGAAUAUUGGACAAUGGGGGAAACCCUAAUCCAGCCAUGCCGCGUGUGUGAAGAAGGCCUUAUGGUUGUAAAGCACUUUAAGCGAGGAGGAGGCUACUGAGACUAAUACUCUUGGAUAGUGGACGUUACUCGCAGAAUAAGCACCGGCUAACUCUGUGCCAGCCGCCGCCGUAA